This 1965-nucleotide long non-coding RNA is filed under the name Pan troglodytes (chimpanzee). RNAcentral describes it as "long non-coding RNA NONPTRT017977". Lineage: Eukaryota; Metazoa; Chordata; Mammalia; Primates; Hominidae. The record is from RNAcentral.
CACACAACUCACACGCACACCAACUCACACAUACACAACUCACGCACCAACUCACAUAUGCGCUCACACAUACACAACUCACACACCAACUCACAUAUGUGCCAACUCACAUGCCAACUCACACACGGACUCACACACAUACCAACUCACAUGCACACCAACUCACAUAUACACAACUCACACACCAACUCACACAUACAUAAUUCACACCAACUCACAUGCCAACUCACACAACUCAACUCACAUGUACACCAAUACACACACAUACACAAGUCACUUACACACCAACUCACUAACACACCAACUCAUACACACCAACUAAUACACACCAACUCACACAUAUACAACUCACAUCAACUCGCAUACACACCAACUCACACAUCGACUCACAUACACACCAACUCACACGCAUACCAACUCACACAUACACAAGUCACUCACACCAACACACACCAACUCACACAUACACAACUCACACUAACACACACCAACUCAUACACAACACAACACACACACCAACUCACACAUACAACUCACACUAACACACACCAACUCGCAUGCACACCAACACACACAACUCAACUACACACCAACUCACACACCCUUACACAUACACAACUCACACACCAACUCACACCCUCACCCCAACACAACCUCACACAUAUACAACACACACACCAACUCACACCCACACACUUUCACACACACCCUCACACACCCUCACACACACCAACUCCCAUGCACACAUCCUCCCUCAUACACAACUCACAGACCCAUGCACACACCCUCGCCCCCACCCAACACAACCUCACACAUACACAACUCACACACCAACUCACAUGCACACACCCACACACCAACUCACACGCACACACCCUCACUCCCAAUGCAACCUCACAACUCACACCAACUCACACACCCUCACACCAACUCACACGCCCACACCCUCACCCCAACACAACCUCACACAUACACAACUCACACACACUAAUGCACAUAUACACAUCCUCACACACAUUUACAUACACCCCUGCUCACAGACACUCUCUCUGGCUCUCUCUCACACACACACACACCCUACCCCCCACUAGGGCUCAAGGACCCCUCCAGUGUCCUCAGGGCACUGGCCCAGGGAGCAGCAAGGAGGGUGAUUCCCAAAUAGCAGCCCCCAGAGCCCCGGUUCUGCCCCCAGAGAAGCUCAAGUCCAGACACCAGAAGGACCUCCCUUCAUCCUGAAGACAUUUACAUGAGGAGAGCCACUUCCCCGAGUGACUCAACAUGCACAGAUCUGGAGGGACACACACACGCACACGCAGAGGGCUUCUCUAGACAGCUGUGUGCACCCCUCACUUCCGGCUCAGGAUUCCCAGGCUCCAGCCCGGCCCCAGCAAUCCAAGUCCUUCCCAUCUAUGCAAAGCUCAGGGGUGCCUCUGGCUUGUGGGGGCCUCAUGGAGCCAUAUCCUGUUCCCUCAUUCCAGAGGCUUUCCCUGCCUAGUGGGGCAGCUCUGGGGCCAGGAGAGCGGGGACGGCCCCAGCCUGAACCACAGGGAAGUGGAAACCCUCAGGGAAAUUCACACUCCAGCUGCCUGCCAGCCAAGGACAGCACACAUUCAUACAUGCGCACCGACACGUGUACACAGUGACACGUGUGUACAUACAGCCCCAUACUCACCCUGACACGUAGGUACACACUUGUCAGAGGCGUUCGAACCAGAGCGACUCCAUUUUGAGUGAGGGCUGGAAAACGAGGCUGGGACCCGCUGGGCUGCAUUACCAGAAAGGUGGGUAUUCCGAGCCCCUAGAGGUUUAUGGUUAAGGGAACAAAUUAAUAAUGUUUACUAAAACAGACCCGGACUUAGGACUGUCCAGAUAUCGCCAUAUCUGAAGAACAAAGGCAUUCCUAAUUUUGCUUUAAAGAUAAUAAUAUCGAUUCUUGCAAAAUAUCGUAAUUAAGAAAAUUAAUCC